AAGUUCCUCGUUUUUCUUGUUUUUUUUUUUGUUUUGUUUUGCAUCAUUUAGCAUUCUGCGCA
Molecule: non-coding RNA, 62 nt
Filed under: Lotharella globosa
Lineage: Eukaryota; Cercozoa; Chlorarachniophyceae
Source: RNAcentral